Molecule: ribosomal RNA, 300 nt
Filed under: uncultured Haloterrigena sp.
Lineage: Archaea; Methanobacteriati; Methanobacteriota; Halobacteria; Halobacteriales; Natrialbaceae
Description: bacterial SSU rRNA
Rfam family: Bacterial small subunit ribosomal RNA
Source: RNAcentral
GGUACUCGCGUGCGAGUAGCGUGGGGAAUGAGGUGGUGGCGAGCGUGUGUCGGAUGUACGGGGCGUAAAGGGCGCGGAGGAGGCGUGUUAAGUCAGCGGUGAAAUCUCCAAGCUGAACUUGGAACGGCCAGCUGAGACUGAUGUGCUAGAGUGCAGAAGGGGCAAUCGGAAUUCUUGGUGUAGCGGUGAAAUGCGUAGAUAUCAAGAGGAACACCUGAGGUGAAGACGGGUUGCUGGGCUGACACUGACGCUGAGGCGCGAAAGCCAGGGGAGCAAACGGGAUUAGAUACCCGAGUAGUC